Long non-coding RNA from Syngnathoides biaculeatus (alligator pipefish), 1431 nucleotides. RefSeq lists it as uncharacterized. NCBI's taxonomy places the organism in Eukaryota, Metazoa, Chordata, Actinopteri, Syngnathiformes, Syngnathidae. The transcript is spliced from 3 exons. The record is from RefSeq and is a predicted model, not a curated record.
CGGAAGUAUGGAGCAACUGCUCUGAAUGUCUUUCGUCAUAACCAAAGGACAAGUACAGCGACAGACCACAACCCCAAUGGACAUUUUUUUUUUGUUCACGGCACAACCAGCCUGUAAGGGGUCGCUGUCCCUGCCCGUCCAAAUGGCGGCGUGGAACUCCCUCAGGGCCACCUCGGACACCUCGAUAAACCUCUCCGGGACCUGCAGUUGGCGAAAAAAAAAAAAAAAAAAAAAGAACGUCUUGGAUUCGACAGGAUUCGACCGUUAAAGUGAUCCACUUCUGCGCCCGGCUGCCACAGUGUUGUGACAUCAUGCGCCGAUGCCGCCGCCGCUGUCCGCUUGACGACUCCGCCCCGCCCCGCGUUGGCCUCGGCAACUCAGCGGGAAGAGGUGGCAAGUGAGCAUGCUGGAUUCUGCCCAACGUGCCGCUAUUGCACUUGGUAAAACCACACGUUCAUAAUGUCAUUCAGUGGAAUGUAAAGAAGUUUGUGCACCGUGCUUCAAUUCAUUGUGGCCGCCUUGGCCACCGAGGGGCAGUACGAGACAGUCAUACCAAAACAAACAAACAAGUGACAGCACGACUCUCAGGGUUCAGUAAGAUGCAUUAAUAUUAGUCUGAUCUUCCCGGGGGAUAAAGAAUAUUGCCGUGAGUAUUGUGCUAUUGUCUACAUGUGUUGCCACUCCAUUUGUCUUCAAAUAUCCACUGCUUGAAUGGUUAAAACCGCAACUAUUGAUGCUUUUCGUUAGCGCAUCAAUGACAUUUUCCACUAUGUGUUAGCAUUAAGCUCCCGCGUGGGGGCUGGGGGGGGGGCACUCCUAAGGCAACCUUGUGAUUGUUUUGAUGAUGGUAAACCACAUAUUCAUUCAUUAACUUCCCACCACUGAGAGAUCAGAUAUGCAGUAAAAUUCCAUCUUGCCCAAGUUUUAAGAAUUUUUUUUCCGCCCCCCCCCCCAACUUCAUGAUCUCUCUUCCGCCGUUUAUUUCGUCAAUGCCGCCCUUUACAUUUGCAUCUCCCGUUCGCCGUUUCCCCUCCGCUCAGUUGUCAUGGAACCAAGGCUGGCACACAAUAGAUGGACGCACGGUUAUAGAUGAAGGUGAGUUCAUGGGGAGGGAGGGGGGCACGAGACAACAAGGUCAACGUUGGCUCCGUCUGAUCUAAAUAACAAAUAACCGCGCUCUGCGACUGUGCGUGUGUGUGGGAGAAUGCAAGUGAUGGCUAAAACAGACGCCUAAAAAGCACAAAUGGCUGCCAGAAAAGUGCAGCCUGAAGCCGAAAAUUGUGCGUCAUUUCUCUCGGGUCUCACAUUAUGUAAACUACUCAAGCGCGAUCCCUCUCAUCCGACCAUGUGCACAUGCGGCCUCUUCAGCGUGCACUUAUAAAUACAGCAUCCCAGAGUGAGAGGUACUGGAUUACAACAAUCAGUAAAGAG